Molecule: ribosomal RNA, 433 nt
Filed under: uncultured bacterium
Lineage: Bacteria
Description: partial 16S ribosomal RNA
Rfam family: Bacterial small subunit ribosomal RNA
Source: RNAcentral
AACGAACGCUGGCGGCAUGCCUAACACAUGCAAGUCGAACGAGACCUUCGGGUCUAGUGGCGCACGGGUGCGUCACGCGUGGGAACCUGCCCUUAGGUUCGGAAUAACUCCCCGAAAGGGGUGCUAAUACCGGAUAAUGUCUUAGGACCAAAGAUUUAUCGCCUUUGGUUGGGCCCGCGUUGGAUUAGCUAGUUGUGAGGGUAAAAGCCUACCAAGGCGACGAUCCAUAGCUGGUCUGAGAGGAUGAUCAGCCACACUGGGACUGAGACACGGCCCAGACUCCUACGGGAGGCAGCAGUGGCGAAUAUUGGACAAUGGGCGAAAGCCUGAUCCAGCAAUGCCGCGUGAGUGAUGAAGGCCUUAGGGUUGUAAAGCUCUUUUACCCGGGAUGAUAAUGACAGUACCGGGAGAAUAAGCCCCGGCUAACUCCGUG